Molecule: long non-coding RNA, 214 nt
Filed under: Elaeis guineensis (African oil palm)
Lineage: Eukaryota; Viridiplantae; Streptophyta; Magnoliopsida; Arecales; Arecaceae
Description: long non-coding RNA (EGUI_LNC063650)
Source: RNAcentral
AGGAUAAGCACAACUCCAGCAACAUAAAUUCUAGCCACUUGAUGUAAAAUGAAUAAGACCAAAAGUGGUGUUGGUGCAGAAUUCCGCCGAUGCCGGAGAUGCUGGAGUCGAGGGGAUCGCAUUCGCCGUCGGGACCUGCAAGAAAAGUCUAAACCAGAGUUGGGGGGUGCUCCAGCAAGACCCUCCGAUACUCAAGUCAGUACUCUGCCUCAAC